UGUAUUAUACCGCAUAACUUUCUACUGGAUGUACCGAUUUUGAUAAUUCUUUUUUUGUUGGAAAGGAGAUAUUCCUAGUUUAGUACCAUGAUAAGGAAACCAGGAUCUGAUGAUAGGAUCCCAGAGAAAUCGAGGGAAACUCUUGAAAAUCCGCAAUAACUUUUUACUGGGUGUACCGAUUUUGAUAAUUCUUUUUUUGUUGGAAAGAAGAUAUCCCUAGUUUAGUACCAUGAUAAGGAAACCAGAUCUGAUGAUGGGAUCCCAGAGAAAUCGAGGGAAACCCUCGAAA
Molecule: unclassified non-coding RNA, 289 nt
Filed under: Melitaea cinxia (Glanville fritillary)
Lineage: Eukaryota; Metazoa; Arthropoda; Insecta; Lepidoptera; Nymphalidae
Description: misc RNA ENSMCXG00005004728.1
Source: RNAcentral